Molecule: ribosomal RNA, 484 nt
Filed under: uncultured bacterium
Lineage: Bacteria
Description: partial 16S ribosomal RNA
Rfam family: Bacterial small subunit ribosomal RNA
Source: RNAcentral
AUUGAACGCUGGCGGCAUGCCUUACACAUGCAAGUCGAACGGCAGCGCGGGAGCAAUCCUGGCGGCGAGUGGCGCACGGGGGAGUAAUACAUCGGAACAUGCCCAAUCGUGGGGGAUAACGCAGCGAAAGCUGUGCUAAUACCGCAUACGAUCUACGGAUGAAAGCAGGGGAUCGCAAGACCUUUCGCGAAUGGAGCGGCCGACGGCAGAUUAGGUAGUUGGUGAGGUAAAGGCUCACCAAGCCUUCGAUCGGUAGCUGGUCUGAGAGGACGACCAGCCACACGGGGACUGAGACACGGCCCAGACUCCUACGGGAGGCAGCAGUGGGGAAUGUUGGACAAUGGGCGAAAGCCUGAUACAGCCAUGCCGCGUGCAGGAUGAAGGCCUUCGGGUUGUAAUCUGCUUUUGUACGGAACGAAACGGUCUUGUCUAAUAAAGAAGGCUAAUGACGGUACCGGAAGAAUAAGCACCGGCUAACUACGUG